This 497-nucleotide ribosomal RNA is filed under the name uncultured bacterium. Its description in RNAcentral is "partial 16S ribosomal RNA". It matches the Rfam family "Bacterial small subunit ribosomal RNA", at positions 28 to 507 of the family's 1533-position model. The record is from RNAcentral.
GAUGAGCGCUGGCGGCGUGCCUAAUACAUGCAAGUCGAGCGAACGGACGAGAAGCUUGCUUCUCUGAUGUUAGCGGCGGACGGGUGAGUAACACGUGGAUAACCUACCUAUAAGACUGGGAUAACUUCGGGAAACCGGAGCUAAUACCGGAUAAUAUUUUGAACCGCAUGGUUCAAAAGUGAAAGACGGUCUUGCUGUCACUUAUAGAUGGAUCCGCGCUGCAUUAGCUAGUUGGUAAGGUAACGGCUUACCAAGGCAACGAUGCAUAGCCGACCUGAGAGGGUGAUCGGCCACACUAGAACUGAGACACGGUCCAGACUCCUACGGGAGGCAGCAGUAGGGAAUCUUCCGCAAUGGGCGAAAGCCUGACGGAGCAACGCCGCGUGAGUGAUGAAGGUCUUCGGAUCGUAAAACUCUGUUAUUAGGGAAGAACAUAUGUGUAAGUAACUGUGCACAUCUUGACGGUACCUAAUCAGAAAGCCACGGCUAACUACGUG